Molecule: ribosomal RNA, 269 nt
Filed under: uncultured bacterium
Lineage: Bacteria
Description: partial 16S ribosomal RNA
Rfam family: Bacterial small subunit ribosomal RNA
Source: RNAcentral
UGUUACAAUGGCCGGUACAGCGGGAAGCCAGGCGGCGACGCCGAGCGGAACCCGAAAACCGGUCUCAGUUCGGAUCGGAGUCUGCAACCCGACUCCGUGAAGCUGGAUUCGCUAGUAAUCGCGCAUCAGCCAUGGCGCGGUGAAUACGUUCCCGGGCCUUGUACACACCGCCCGUCAAGCCAUGGGAGCCGGGGGUGCUUGAAGUGCGUCGCCGCGAGGCGCGCCCUAGAGCAAAACCGGUGACUGGGGCUAAGUCGUAACAAGGUACC